RNAcentral lists this ribosomal RNA (1267 nucleotides) under Kosakonia radicincitans. RNAcentral describes it as "bacterial SSU rRNA". It matches the Rfam family "Bacterial small subunit ribosomal RNA", at positions 91 to 1359 of the family's 1533-position model. The record is from RNAcentral. Lineage: Bacteria; Pseudomonadati; Pseudomonadota; Gammaproteobacteria; Enterobacterales; Enterobacteriaceae.
GUGACGGGUGGACGUGAGUAAGUCUGUAAAACUGCCUGAUGGAGGGGGAUAACUACUGGAAACGGUAGCUAAUACCGCAUAACGUCGCAAGACCAAAGAGGGGGACCUUCGGGCCUCUUGCCAUCAGAUGUGCCCAGAUGGGAUUAGCUAGUAGGCGGGGUAAUGGCCCACCUAGGCGACGAUCCCUAGCUGGUCUGAGAGGAUGACCAGCCACACUGGAACUGAGACACGGUCCAGACUCCUACGGGAGGCAGCAGUGGGGAAUAUUGCACAAUGGGCGCAAGCCUGAUGCAGCCAUGCCGCGUGUGUGAAGAAGGCCUUCGGGUUGUAAAGCACUUUCAGCGGGGAGGAAGGCGGUACGGUUAAUAACCGUGCUGAUUGACGUUACCCGCAGAAGAAGCACCGGCUAACUCCGUGCCAGCAGCCGCGGUAAUACGGAGGGUGCAAGCGUUAAUCGGAAUUACUGGGCGUAAAGCGCACGCAGGCGGUCUGUCAAGUCGGAUGUGAAAUCCCCGGGCUCAACCUGGGAACUGCAUUCGAAACUGGCAGGCUGGAGUCUCGUAGAGGGAGGUAGAAUUCCAGGUGUAGCGGUGAAAUGCGUAGAGAUCUGGAGGAAUACCGGUGGCGAAGGCGGCCUCCCGGACGAAGACUGACGCUCAGGUGCGAAAGCGUGGGGAGCAAACAGGAUUAGAUACCCUGGUAGUCCACGCCGUAAACGAUGUCGAUUUGGAGGUUGUGCCCUUGAGGCGUGGCUUCCGGAGCUAACGCGUUAAAUCGACCGCCUGGGGAGUACGGCCGCAAGGUUAAAACUCAAAUGAAUUGACGGGGGCCCGCACAAGCGGUGGAGCAUGUGGUUUAAUUCGAUGCAACGCGAAGAACCUUACCUGGUCUUGACAUCCACAGAACCUGGCAGAGAUGCCGGGGUGCCUUCGGGAACUGUGAGACAGGUGCUGCAUGGCUGUCGUCAGCUCGUGUUGUGAAAUGUUGGGUUAAGUCCCGCAACGAGCGCAACCCUUAUCCUUUGUUGCCAGCGGUUAGGCCGGGAACUCAAAGGAGACUGCCAGUGAUAAACUGGAGGAAGGUGGGAUGACGUCAAGUCAUCAUGGCCCUUACGACCAGGGCUACACACGUGCUACAAUGGCGCAUACAAAGAGAAGCGACCUCGCGAGAGCAAGCGGACCUCAUAAAGUGCGUCGUAGUCCGCAUUAGAGUCUGCAACUCGACUCCAUUGAGGUCGAAUCGCUAGUAAUCGUGAAUCAGAAUGUCC